AAUUUAAUAUCUUGUUAAUUUAAGAGUAAUGUUUAUUAUAUUAGUGAAAAAUAAUUUAGGAUGUAAAAAAGUAGUUUUUAACAAAAUGUAUAUGUAACUAUAGUUUAAAGUACUGUAAAGGAAAGAAAAUAGAAAUAAAUAAUAAAGAAAAAGUUAAAUUUUGUACCUUGUGUAUAAGGGAAAAUCUAUAUGAUUAAAAUAAUAUUUUUAAAUCUCGAAAGAAAAAUAGUUAAUUUUACUAAUAGAGUUUUUGUAGGAUAAAGAUUUUUAAUAUAAAAUUAAAGAUGAAAUGUUAAACGAGUUUUAUAAUAUCUAGUUUUUUAAAAAGAAAAUUAAAUUUGGUUUAUAUAUAGGAAAAAAAUAUAAAUAUAAAAUAGAAAGGGUAAGCUUUUUAUUGAUAAACGAAACAGCAAAAUUAAAUGAGUUUAUAAAAAUGAUUUAAGCUUAAAAGUAGCUAAGUUUUUAAAGUGUUUUAACUAAAUAAUAUAAAGUGUAGUUGUAGCUUUUCUUAAAUAUUAAAAAUUUAUUAAAACUGGGAAAUAAUAAGAUAAAAUGAUUUUAUUAGUAGAAAAUUAAUUAUAAGAACAAAUAAAAGGAUGGAUUAGGAAAAAAUUCUUAAAAUAUUAAGGUAUAUUAAAGGAAUUCGGUAAAUUAUUUUCUUGCCUGUUUAUCAAAAACAUGUCUAUUUGAAGUUAUAAAAAGUCUAACCUGCCCGCUGAUUAAAAUAUAGAGAUUUAAGGGCCGCGGUAUUAUGACCGUGCAAAGGUAGCAUAAUCAUUAGGUUUUUAAAUGAAAUCUUGUAUGAAUGGUUGGACAAAGGGAAAACUGUCUUUAAAAUAAAUUAUUAAAUUUUACUUUUAAGUGAAAAGGCUUAAAUAUUUUAGGGGGACGAUAAGACCCUAUAAAACUUUACAUUAUGAUUAUAUUAGAUUAAAUUUGAAUAAUAAAAAUUUAGUAUAAUUAUUUGUUUUGUUGGGGAGACAUGAGCAAAGAUUAUAUUAACUGCUUAAAAGUUAAACAUUUAUUGGUGUAUAAAAAGUUUAUAGAUCCUGUAUAUGUAGAUUAAAAGAUUAAGUUACUUUAGGGAUAACAGUGUAAUUUUUUUUGAGAGUUCAUAUCGAAAAAAAAGUUUGCAACCUCGAUGUUGAAUUAAAAUAUCUUUAUAAUGUAGUUGUUAUAUUAGAGGGUCUGUUCGACC
RNAcentral lists this ribosomal RNA (1198 nucleotides) under Ceylonthelphusa alpina. RNAcentral's name for it is "partial 16S ribosomal RNA". Lineage: Eukaryota; Metazoa; Arthropoda; Malacostraca; Decapoda; Parathelphusidae. The record is from RNAcentral.